Desulfobacteraceae bacterium 4572_89 is the source of this 100-nucleotide non-coding RNA. NCBI's taxonomy places the organism in Bacteria, Pseudomonadati, Thermodesulfobacteriota, Desulfobacteria, Desulfobacterales, Desulfobacteraceae. The record is from Rfam.
CUUUCCGACUCCAAGGAACCCGAUGCCCAGGCAGGAUAUGAAAAAGCUUUUACAUCUGUUCUUGCAUCCAUGGGCGGAUCCAAUUAUAUCCACCACGCGG